CAGCAGCCGCCGCGGUAAUACAGAGUGUGCGAGCGUUAAUCGGAUUUACUGGGCGUAAAGCGUGCGUAGGCGGCUUCUUAAGUCGGAUGUGAAAUCCCUGAGCUUAACUUAGGAAUUGCAUUCGAUACUGGGAAGCUAGAGUAUGGGAGAGGAUGGUAGAAUUCCAGGUGUAGCGGUGAAAUGCGUAGAGAUCUGGAGGAAUACCGAUGGCGAAGGCAGCCAUCUGGCCUAAUACUGACGCUGAGGUACGAAAGCAUGGGGAGCAAACAGGAUUAGAUACCCCAGUAGUCCCUGUCUCUUAUAC
RNAcentral lists this ribosomal RNA (304 nucleotides) under uncultured bacterium. Its description in RNAcentral is "partial 16S ribosomal RNA". It matches the Rfam family "Bacterial small subunit ribosomal RNA", at positions 506 to 807 of the family's 1533-position model. The record is from RNAcentral.